Molecule: long non-coding RNA, 873 nt
Organism: Lotus japonicus
Lineage: Eukaryota; Viridiplantae; Streptophyta; Magnoliopsida; Fabales; Fabaceae
Exons: 3
Source: RefSeq, a predicted model, not a curated record
GUGCUCGGUUGCCAAUAAAUACUACUAGUACUCCUAUUUAUUAUUGCAUUGCCUUGCAUUAGUCUGGAGAGAGAUGACAAUGGAUCCUAUCUAGCUUUGCAACCAAGGAACGAACGAACUACAAAAAGGUGUAAGUAACAUAGAAAUGGAACACUCAUUUGAGCAAGAAAAGAACAGCAACUUAUGUGGAUAAAAGGUUGGCCUUGUGAAGGGUUGAAGAGCCUCAGUCUCGAACUUUGAGGGAGAGGGAUCAGGAUACCCGGGACAACCUUCCCUACAAGCUGCUACCAGAUGAUUGCUUGAGGAAAAGAAUGUGCUUCAAUAUCAGUUGGACUUUUAACUUUUGUCUAACUAGGAAUUGAGAGUACAAAUUGGUAAAAGAUAACCAUAAAGGAGAUGGAUAGCGACAGACGGGGGAAUCUGCGGUUGAAGCUCUCUUUUGCCACGAAUGAAAUGGUAUCCAAAGCCCCCUAAGAAUGACAGUCAAUGGUCCCACAAAGUGGUAUCCCACCAGAAUCUUCAGCACAAAAAUAAUCAUGCAGAGAUGUUUCAAUAUGAACAAUGUUGGAAUAACAAUUCUUUUCUUGCUUACCAAAAAAAAGACUUUGGGUUAGGAUAAAGAGAAGAGAAAGAAAUGAGUGAUAUAUUGAUAUAGUAUAUGAUGUAAUAAAAAAUACCGCAAAAAAUAUGAAAAAAAAAACAUGUGAAAUUGAGAUGUAAGAGAAAUUGAAAUGCAUGUGAACAUAUCAUUACUCUUUAAAUUUUGAUUGAAUUCAGUGAUCCAUAUUCAUUCUUUUAUGAAAUCACUUUGUUUUAGUAUAAAUUAACAACCGCCUGACCACCUCUCUAUCAUGUUCCCUACUUCCCUCUUUA